This 253-nucleotide ribosomal RNA is filed under the name uncultured prokaryote. Its description in RNAcentral is "partial 16S ribosomal RNA". It matches the Rfam family "Bacterial small subunit ribosomal RNA", at positions 524 to 776 of the family's 1533-position model. The record is from RNAcentral.
UACGGAGGGGGCUAGCGUUGUUCGGAAUUACUGGGCGUAAAGCGCACGUAGGCGGCUUUACAAGUCAGGGGUGAAAGCCCGCGGCUCGACCGCGGAAUUGCCCUUGAGACUGUAUCGCUUGAACACGGGAGAGGUGAGUGGAAUUCCGAGUGUAGAGGUGAAAUUCGUAGAUAUUCGGAAGAACACCAGUGGCGAAGGCGGCUCACUGGACCGUUGUUGACGCUGAGGUGCGAAAGCGUGGGGAGCAAACAGG